Molecule: RNA transcript, 2012 nt
Organism: Colletes gigas
Lineage: Eukaryota; Metazoa; Arthropoda; Insecta; Hymenoptera; Colletidae
Gene name: spermine oxidase-like
Exons: 9
Source: RefSeq, a predicted model, not a curated record
ACAGUUUUACGCGUCCCCUUUCCUCAAGUAGUGUAAAUCGGAUUUACAUAGGAUAACGUGUUCUUCGUUACAAGUAAGAUCAUAACGAAGAUCCAUCGGCACAACAAUUACGUAAUUAGUUAUACUUUGAACGAUUAUCUUUCUCUACUACAAACAAUUGCUCCGAUUCCUUCAUCAAAGAUAAAUUGUCUCAUGAAUAAGAGCGGAAAACGUAUAUAAAGAGUUACCGCGUAAUGGUACAUACUAGACGGCCGUUCUGUCAAUCGACAGUGAGUAAUCUGUGUUGAAAAGAUUGCCGCGGCAUUGGGAAAAUGUUCUCAACCGCGAUUUUGUUUCUUUUCUGUUUGAUGAAAAAUACGAUUCACGUGGACGCGGGAUCACCGAGAAUCGUGAUAGUCGGUGCCGGUGCUUCAGGUAUCGCGGCUGCCUCAAAGUUACUUGAAAACGGUUUCGAUAAUGUUCUCAUCCUGGAAGCCGAAGACAGAAUCGGUGGACGUGUAAACACAGUAAAAUUUGAUGAAUAUGUCGUCGAUUUAGGCGCGCAAUGGAUUCAUGGCGAGAAAGGAAACGUUGCGUAUCAAUUGGCAGCUCCUUUAAACGUUACCGAUCACUCGGAUCCGUACUACGACGAAAUAUACACCAAGUCUGGCCAGUUGCUCGACUCGGAAAUUAUGAGCAACGUUACGGAAUUCUUUAUCCAAUUACUCGAGUCGAUAGACACUACAGAAGAUUGCAACAACACUGCUUCUAUGGGCGAAUGUUUUGAAAAAAAGUCGAAACAGCAUUUUGCACUAUUUCCGGAAUUAAACGAUACAAUGCAGGAAGAAUUACUAUGGCGUUUACAUAUGAUGGAAACAAGCCUCGAUCCCGCCGAUUCCUGGUACGAUUUAUCGUUGUUGGACUAUGCGUACAUGGGAUGCGAGGGGGACAAGACGAUAAAUUGGAAGGAACGCGGAUACAGCACCAUCUUAGACAUAUUAAUGAAAAAAUUUCCAAACCCGGAGGAGGAGUUACCCGUGUUAAAUAACACAAUUGUUAAAGCCGAGGUGACGAAAGUCGAUUACUCGAGCGAAAACGGUAGUACCGUGAAACUAACGACACUCGACGGAAACGAAUAUAUAGCCGACCAUGUAAUCAUGACGCCUUCUUUAGGAGUGCUUAAGGCACAAUACGAGACACUGUUUCAUCCUCAACUACCAGAAUCAAAGAUAAAAAAUAUCAAGGGUUUAGGUUUUGGAAAUGCCUGUAAAAUAAUCCUGGCGUUUAACGAUACUUGGUUCAACGAUAGAGGAAUGAAAAACAGAGGCUUCAGCUUCUUGUGGAGCGAGGCGGAAAGAAUGGAGCUCGAUGCUGAUCCGAAAACGAGGUGGCUGCCAUACACGAUGGGAGCGUACGUCGUCGAACAUAAGCCUCGAUUGUUGCUCCUAUGGAUUUCCGGGAAAGGUGGACGUUUGAUGGACGAUCUGACGGACGAUCAAGUACUGGAGCAGACUGUAAGCAUGUUAGAAAAUUUCUUAGGAAAGGAAUACAAAGUCGCUAGACCAACAGCAAUGAUAAGAAGUAAAUGGCAUGAAAAUAAACACUUCCGUGGCACGUAUAGCUACCAAAGCAUAGAAACUGUGAGAAGAAACACAAGUGCGAAGCAGUUGGCCGAACCGAUUAUGAAAAUGGGUAAACCGGUGAUACUAUUUGCGGGAGAAGCUACCAACGAAUACCAUUUCUCUACGGUGCACGGCGCUAUUGGUUCUGGAUGGAGAGAAGCCGAGAGACUGAUAAAACUGUACGACGAAAACGAUAGUAGAACGGAACGGAAUUAAUUGUAAACGUUGUCGUAUAAACGCGAAAUUACCAGUACAGUACCAAAUAUAAAAAUUUCCUCUUUCUUCUAAACUAAAACUGUGAUGCCGUAGAAAAACUUGUGCCUGUUUUACACCAGUUUCGUAAGCACCGUGAGUCGUCGAAUAAAAGUUGUCGUGCGUUGCUUCGCCGGCGAACAUAAUAACAGGUAUAUC